UACGGGGGGGGCAAGCGUUGUUCGGAAUUACUGGGCGUAAAGGGCUCGUAGGCGGCCAACUAAGUCAGACGUGAAAUCCCUCGGCUUAACCGGGGAACUGCGUCUGAUACUGGAUGGCUAGAGGUUGGGAGAGGGAUGCGGAAUUCCAGGUGCAGCGGUGAAAUGCGUAGAUAUCUGGAGGAACACCGGUGGCGAAGGCGGCAUCCUGGACCAAUUCUGACGCUGAGGAGCGAAAGCCAGGGGAGCAAACGGG
RNAcentral lists this ribosomal RNA (253 nucleotides) under uncultured bacterium. RNAcentral's name for it is "partial 16S ribosomal RNA". It matches the Rfam family "Bacterial small subunit ribosomal RNA", at positions 524 to 776 of the family's 1533-position model. The record is from RNAcentral.